This 304-nucleotide ribosomal RNA is filed under the name uncultured bacterium. Its description in RNAcentral is "bacterial SSU rRNA". It matches the Rfam family "Bacterial small subunit ribosomal RNA", at positions 28 to 334 of the family's 1533-position model. The record is from RNAcentral.
GACGAACGCUGGCGGCGUGCCUAAUACAUGCAAGUCAAGCGAGGGUUUUCGGACCCUAGCGGCGGACGGGUGAGUAACACGUAGGCAACCUGCCUCUCAGAUCGGGAUAACAUAGGGAAACUUAUGCUAAUACCGGAUAGGUUUUUGGAUUGCAUGAUCCGAAAAGAAAAGAUGGCUUCGGCUAUCACUGGGAGAUGGGCCUGCGGCGCAUUAGCUAGUUGGUGGGGUAACGGCCUACCAAGGCGACGAUGCGUAGCCGACCUGAGAGGGUGACCGGCCACACUGGGACUGAGACACGGCCCAG